UGGGGAAUCUUCCGCAAUGGACGAAAGUCUGACGGAGCAACGCCGCGUGAGUGAUGACGGUCUUCGGAUUGUAAAGCUCUGUUAAUCGGGACGAAAGAGCUCUGUGUGAAUAAUGCAGAGAAGUGACGGUACCGGAAUAGAAAGCCACGGCUAACUACGUGCCAGCAGCCGCGGUAAUACGUAGGUGGCAAGCGUUGUCCGGAAUUAUUGGGCGUAAAGCGCGCGCAGGCGGGUUUUUAAGUCUGUCUUAAAAGUUCGGGGCUUAACCCCGUGAGGGGAUGGAAACUGGAAACCUAGAGUAUCGGAGAGGAAAGCGGAAUUCCUAGUGUAGCGGUGAAAUGCGUAGAUAUUAGGAAGAACACCAGUGGCGAAGGCGGCUUUCUGGACGAAAACUGACGCUGAGGCGCGAAAGCCAGGGGAGCAAACGGG
Molecule: ribosomal RNA, 429 nt
Filed under: uncultured bacterium
Lineage: Bacteria
Description: bacterial SSU rRNA
Rfam family: Bacterial small subunit ribosomal RNA
Source: RNAcentral